This 253-nucleotide ribosomal RNA is filed under the name uncultured bacterium. RNAcentral's name for it is "partial 16S ribosomal RNA". It matches the Rfam family "Bacterial small subunit ribosomal RNA", at positions 524 to 776 of the family's 1533-position model. The record is from RNAcentral.
UACGGGGGGGGCAAGCGUUGUUCGGAAUUACUGGGCGUAAAGGGCGUGCAGGCGGUUGCGUAAGUUAGGCGAGAAAGACUUCGGCUAAACCGGGGGAGGUCGUCUGAUACUGCGCAACUAGAGUAUGGUAGAGGCGUGUAGAAUUCCGGGUGUAGUGGUGAAAUGCGUAGAGAUCCGGAGGAAUACCAGUGGCGAAGGCGGCACGCUGGGCCAUUACUGACGCUAAGACGCGAAAGCAUGGGUAGCGAACGGG